CAGCAGCUAUAUGCAACAGAAAUUGUUUAGUGGGGUCCAGUCCUAUAAUGUUAUGGCGUGCCGGUUUCUUGGCUUUGUCCUUUCCGCCAGAGGAACCUGACUCUGAUGGGCCACUGACAGGAGUAGAACAAAGCAUAGCAGUCACUGCAGCAUCAUGUCGUCUAUGAGCAGCUGCCACUGCCCCAGGAGGAAUAUCAGAAACAAGAUCACCACUCACAAC
RNAcentral lists this long non-coding RNA (220 nucleotides) under Nicotiana benthamiana. RNAcentral's name for it is "long non-coding RNA (NBEN_LNC000923)". The record is from RNAcentral. Lineage: Eukaryota; Viridiplantae; Streptophyta; Magnoliopsida; Solanales; Solanaceae.